RNAcentral lists this small nucleolar RNA (73 nucleotides) under Castor canadensis (American beaver). Its description in RNAcentral is "Small nucleolar RNA SNORD45 (ENSCCNG00000031675.1)". It matches the Rfam family "Small nucleolar RNA SNORD45". Rfam says of the family: U45 belongs to the C/D class of snoRNA which contain the C (UGAUGA) and D (CUGA) box motifs. Most of the members of the box C/D family function in directing site-specific 2'-O-methylation of substrate RNAs. Lineage: Eukaryota; Metazoa; Chordata; Mammalia; Rodentia; Castoridae. The record is from Rfam by way of RNAcentral.
GGUCAAUGAUGUUAUGGCAUGUAUUAGCUGAAUGCACAGUUGAUGUGAGUUCUUCAAAUUACACUGAGACCUU